RNAcentral lists this ribosomal RNA (1438 nucleotides) under uncultured organism. Its description in RNAcentral is "SSU rRNA". It matches the Rfam family "Bacterial small subunit ribosomal RNA". The record is from RNAcentral.
GCUAUCUACAGGCUUAACACAUGCAAGUCGAGGGGCAGCAUGGUCUUAGCUUGCUAAGGCCGAUGGCGACCGGCGCACGGGUGAGUAACACGUAUCCAACCUGCCGUCUACUCUUGGACAGCCUUCUGAAAGGAAGAUUAAUACAAGAUGGCAUCAUGAGUCCGCAUGUUCACAUGAUUAAAGGUAUUCCGGUAGACGAUGGGGAUGCGUUCCAUUAGAUAGUAGGCGGGGUAACGGCCCACCUAGUCUUCGAUGGAUAGGGGUUCUGAGAGGAAGGUCCCCCACAUUGGAACUGAGACACGGUCCAAACUCCUACGGGAGGCAGCAGUGAGGAAUAUCGGUCAAUGGGCGAGAGCCUGAACCAGCCAAGUAGCGUGAAGGAUGACUGCCCUAUGGGUUGUAAACUUCUUUUAUAAAGGAAUAAAGUCGGGUAUGGAUACCCGUUUGCAUGUACUUUAUGAAUAAGGAUCGGCUAACUCCGUGCCAGCAGCCGCGGUAAUACGGAGGAUCCGAGCGUUAUCCGGAUUUAUUGGGUUUAAAGGGAGCGUAGAUGGAUGUUUAAGUCAGUUGUGAAAGUUUGCGGCUCAACCGUAAAAUUGCAGUUGAUACUGGAUAUCUUGAGUGCAGUUGAGGCAGGCGGAAUUCGUGGUGUAGCGGUGAAAUGCUUAGAUAUCACGAAGAACUCCGAUUGCGAAGGCAGCCUGCUAAGCUGCAACUGACAUUGAGGCUCGAAAGUGUGGGUAUCAAACAGGAUUAGAUACCCUGGUAGUCCACACGGUAAACGAUGAAUACUCGCUGUUUGCGAUAUACUGCAAGCGGCCAAGCGAAAGCGUUAAGUAUUCCACCUGGGGAGUACGCCGGCAACGGUGAAACUCAAAGGAAUUGACGGGGGCCCGCACAAGCGGAGGAACAUGUGGUUUAAUUCGAUGAUACGCGAGGAACCUUACCCGGGCUUAAAUUGCAGAUGAAUUACGGUGAAAGCCGUAAGCCGCAAGGCAUCUGUGAAGGUGCUGCAUGGUUGUCGUCAGCUCGUGCCGUGAGGUGUCGGCUUAAGUGCCAUAACGAGCGCAACCCUUGUUGUCAGUUACUAACAGGUUCCGCUGAGGACUCUGACAAGACUGCCAUCGUAAGAUGUGAGGAAGGUGGGGAUGACGUCAAAUCAGCACGGCCCUUACGUCCGGGGCUACACACGUGUUACAAUGGGGGGUACAGAGGGCCGCUACCACGCGAGUGGAUGCCAAUCCCCAAAACCUCUCUCAGUUCGGACUGGAGUCUGCAACCCGACUCCACGAAGCUGGAUUCGCUAGUAACCGCGCAUCAGCCACGGCGCGGUGAAUACGUUCCCGGGCCUUGUACACACCGCCCGUCAAGCCAUGGGAGCCGGGGGUACCUGAAGUGCGUAACCGCGAGGAGCGCCCUAGGGUAAAACUGGUGACUG